This 489-nucleotide ribosomal RNA is filed under the name uncultured eukaryote. RNAcentral describes it as "bacterial SSU rRNA". It matches the Rfam family "Eukaryotic small subunit ribosomal RNA", at positions 9 to 561 of the family's 1831-position model. The record is from RNAcentral.
UGAUCCUGCCAGUAGUCAUAUGCUUGUCUCAAAGAUUUAGCCAUGCAUGUCUAAGUAAAAACUAAAUUAUGGUGAAACUGCAAAUGGCUCAUUACAACGGUUAUGAUGUACCCGGGAUUUCCGAUGGAUAUUUCCAGUAACACUAGAGCUAAUACAUGUAACUGCGUUUAUUAGUUUCAAACAAAUCUGUCGCUGAGUCAUGGUAAACUGUUGAUCGACUCGACGUCCCGGAACAGUUUCCGCCCCAUCAGCUUCGAUGGUUGGGUAUUGGCCUACCAUUGCAACAACGGGUAACGAGGAAUUAGGGUUUGAUUUCGGAGAGGGAGCCUGAGAAACGGCUACCACAUCUACGGAUGGCAGCAGGCGCGAAAAUUACCCAAUGCAGACACUGUGAGGUAGUGACGAGAAAUAAUAAAGCGGGGCUUCUGUCUUGCUAUUAUAAUGAGGAAUAACUAAAUGUCAUUCCUAUUAGCAACUGAUGGGCAAGUC